RNAcentral lists this ribosomal RNA (388 nucleotides) under uncultured bacterium. RNAcentral's name for it is "bacterial SSU rRNA". It matches the Rfam family "Bacterial small subunit ribosomal RNA", at positions 28 to 417 of the family's 1533-position model. The record is from RNAcentral.
GACGAACGCUGGCGGCGUGCUUAACACAUGCAAGUCGAGCGGUAAGGCCCUUUCGGGGGUACACGAGCGGCGAACGGGUGAGUAACACGUGGGUGACCUGCCCUCAGCUCUGGGAUAAGCCUGGGAAACCGGGUCUAAUACUGGAUAUGACUCCAUGACGCAUGUUGUGGGGUGGAAAGCCUUGUGCGGCUGAGGAUGGGCCCGCGGCCUAUCAGCUUGUUGGUGGGGUGAUGGCCUACCAAGGCGACGACGGGUAGCCGGCCUGAGAGGGCGACCGGCCACACUGGGACUGAGACACGGCCCAGACUCCCACGGGAGGCAGCAGUGGGGAAUCUUGCGCAAUGGGCGAAAGCCUGACGCAGCGACGCCGCGUGAGGGAUGACGGCCU